ACGCUCGACACCUACGGAGGCAGCAGUUGGGAAUAUUGGACAAUGGAGGAAACUCUGAUCCAGUGACGCCGCGUGAAGGAAGAAGGUCUUCGGAUUGUAAACUUAUUUUGUCAGGGAAGAAAAAUGACUGUACCUGAAGAAAAAGCACCGGCUAACUACGUGCCAGCACGCCGACGGUAAUCUGAGGCGGGCUGGACAAGGC
RNAcentral lists this ribosomal RNA (202 nucleotides) under uncultured bacterium. RNAcentral describes it as "partial 16S ribosomal RNA". It matches the Rfam family "Bacterial small subunit ribosomal RNA", at positions 328 to 538 of the family's 1533-position model. The record is from RNAcentral.